RNAcentral lists this ribosomal RNA (253 nucleotides) under uncultured bacterium. Its description in RNAcentral is "partial 16S ribosomal RNA". It matches the Rfam family "Bacterial small subunit ribosomal RNA", at positions 524 to 776 of the family's 1533-position model. The record is from RNAcentral.
UACAGAGGGGGCAAGCGUUAUUCGGAAUCACUGGGCGUAAAGCGCACGUAGGCGGAUUGUUAAGUCAGGGGUGAAAUCCUGGAGCUCAACUCCAGAACUGCCUUUGAUACUGGCGAUCUCGAGUCCGGGAGAGGUGAGUGGAACUGCGAGUGUAGAGGUGAAAUUCGUAGAUAUUCGCAAGAACACCAGUGGCGAAGGCGGCUCACUGGCCCGGUACUGACGCUGAGGUGCGAAAGCGUGGGGAGCAAACAGG